CUCACCGCGAGGUGGGGCCUGAAAGAAGCGCGGAGCAAAGACGCGAGCCGAUGAACAAGAACUUGAUGCGAGGCAGGCCGUGUUCGGGCGAGCUGGCAAAUGGCAGCGAAGCCCACAUCCAUCAAGGUGUGUCUGGCGAAUUGUUACGCGAUUUCCCCGGUAAUCGGGCAGUUAAAGUGGGCUGGGUCUGCCC
Acidobacteria bacterium 13_2_20CM_56_17 is the source of this 193-nucleotide non-coding RNA. Lineage: Bacteria; Pseudomonadati; Acidobacteriota. The record is from Rfam.